Apodemus sylvaticus (European woodmouse) is the source of this 1138-nucleotide long non-coding RNA. RefSeq lists it as uncharacterized. Lineage: Eukaryota; Metazoa; Chordata; Mammalia; Rodentia; Muridae. The record is from RefSeq and is a predicted model, not a curated record. The transcript is spliced from 4 exons.
CUCCAGCGAGCUCCGCGCGUCCAAGAGGGAGCUAAGGGCUCCCUGGUUCAAAGGGCCGCAGCCCCGAGGGGAUGCCCUCCUCGUGUGCCCCGGGGUGCAGAAGCAGACUGCAGGGCGGUGGGACCAGCCUGGGCCACGAGACCAUAGAUUUCCAAUGUGAGAGGGGUAAUUAGCACUUUCCUGAGGUAGAGCCACAGGAAUGGAUCAUACAUCUUCCUGCCCCAUCUGAAAAAUCCAACUCAGUGAUUGAUUUUACAGCUGCCCAUGACUGCAAAUUCCUCAGCAAGAAUUCCAGCAGGUGAAGAGAGAUCUCUCUAUGGCUCAUCUUGAAGAGCAUUGUUUGAGCAAAGAAUGAAGACAACAAUUUAAAUGGACAAGCAUCGCUUCCCCCAGAAUGCUCUUGGAGUGAGAUCUUCCUUGUUCACAUCCUUUUCACGGAAAACAAAGGAAAAUAUCUCUAUAAAAAUGAGGAAAUUCAUUAAAUGCAAAGGGAAUUUUCUUUGAAAGUAUUUUUUUUUUAAAAACUCUACUUCAUUCUUAGCCAGGUGUGGUGGUAUACACCUUAAAGCCCAGCACUUGGGAGGUAAAGGCAGGUAGAUCUCUGGGAUUGAGACCAGCUUGGUCUGCAGAGAGAGUCCCAGGAAAGCUAGAUCUACACAGAGAAACCCUAUUUAAAAAAAAAAGAAAACAUCUGCUUUAUUCCUCAUAUACAGUGUGAGAGGACCCCUUAUAGCAUUAAAUACCUUACGGUUUGUAUGUGUGUGGCGCAAAUGCAGAAGCCACCGGCUGAGCAGAGCCAGGCAAACACGUAAAGGCUGAGCUGAAUUCAUAGCAUCUUUCAGGAAAUGUGUUUGGGAAAUACAGCCAGGGAUCUUGGGAUUAUCUUGAUUUUAAUUUUUACAUUCCGUGAGGAGAGUAAUAAACCUUCUUUAUAAUUAAAUAGAAUGGUUUUCUAUCUUAUGAAAUAGAUGCCUCAGGCAUUGCUACUAAUGAAGCAAAAUACAAACAAAACAUGUAGUCAUCCAAGGACUCUGUUUUCAACAGAAUUUCCCAAAUAAGUCUCUUCUCUUUUUGCCCUCAAAUAAUAUCAUUCUUGCUAUUGUUCUUUCAUUAGUUUUACAAUGUCAGUAUCAAGAUG